Molecule: non-coding RNA, 23 nt
Filed under: Cricetulus griseus (Chinese hamster)
Lineage: Eukaryota; Metazoa; Chordata; Mammalia; Rodentia; Cricetidae
Source: RNAcentral
AAUUCUAGGGAACCGGUCUUUGG